AGAGAUCUGCAACCAUAAUUCACUGUUCAUACUCACCAUCUGUUGGAUACCUCUCCAUCUAGAAGGGCAAGAAGAAACCUCCAGCAGAAAUGGACCCAUUAUGAGCAGCCAUCUUGCCGUGACCUACUGGAGGUUUAGAGGACCAAAGGUUGUUACGGAAAAAACACAGCAGCACUGGACCAGAGUACUUUUUGUGGGAUGAAAAAGAGAAUACACAAAGUUUCCAUUAGCCUGCCAGGGAGUACAUGGAUGAAACUCCACCUGCUGAUGCCAGAUAUGAAACAUUUAGAGUUCUGCACCCCCUCUAGCCAAGACCUACAGCAUGCAAUGGGGCGGUGCGCAGCCGAGUGUGA
This is a long non-coding RNA of Girardinichthys multiradiatus, 353 nucleotides long. RefSeq lists it as uncharacterized. The transcript is spliced from 3 exons. NCBI's taxonomy places the organism in Eukaryota, Metazoa, Chordata, Actinopteri, Cyprinodontiformes, Goodeidae. The record is from RefSeq and is a predicted model, not a curated record.